GGGGCUCAGCCGCUCCUCGCCCUCAGCAGAGCGGCCAGGACAGAAGGGUGUGAAAAUCGCCAGUCAUUUGUUUUUAAAAUUUAAAAGUUUAAUAGUAAUAAAAUGGUUAUAAAAAUAGCAAUAUAAUUAGAGUAAUAAAAAUUUUGGACAAUUUUAAUUAGGACAAUAUGAGACAAUAAAAACAAAGAGUUAUGGACGUCUGGGUAGCUUCUUCUGGGCAGCAUAAGCCCGAAAAAGGACCCACGUUAACAGAGGAUUAACCCUUAAAAACAAUAGCCUGUUGCAUAUUCAUAAACCUCAUACAUGAUGCGUAAAGUCCAUUCAAACGCAGGAUUCUCUCUGGGCAGGGUCAGCUUCUUCCUCUGAUUCCUGACAGCUCUUCAUGGCUGAGCAAGGCAGGAAGAAGUUCAUUUCUUCUAAUAAUGGAACAAUAAAUUUGUUUUCUCUGAAAGACUGAGAGGUGUCCCGUGGCUGCUAUCUCAGUGCGAGUCCUUCCUUUAAAAAAGUAUCUUACACAGCAUAGUUUCUAUUUUAACAUUAUGUUAUAACCUAAAACCAUAUUUAACACACCACUUAAGAAAAUUAACACAGCAUAACUUUCUAACAUAACACAUAUAAUAUUCAUUUUAAUAUUUGCAAAAAGGCAAUCAUAAAACACAUUUUUCACAAUGAGAAGGGACAGGAGGCACAAACUCGGCGGUGCCAUGGGGAGAGUUGAGCAGGUGAGUCAGAAGCUGUGCAGACAAGCAGGGCAGAGCAAGGAAAGCCUUCCCGUGGGCUCAGCCAUCUCCGGGAGAGCAGGGCCCAACUCAGGUGAUAAUUAAUGGUCACCAUUGGUGGGAACACCGGUGCCACCACCCCGAUCCUGCUCUGCCCCUUUCUGUCUGGAGCACGGUGUCCUUUGCUCUGGGGAAUCCCUUCAGCCCCCUGGGUCGCUGCCCCAGCUGUGUCUCCUCCCUGCUGUGCCCAGCAGGAACCCAAAGCAGCCCCAGCUCAGCCCCUGGGGAGGGAAUGAACUGCAGCCCAGCCAGAGCCGGCAGAGCACACCAUGGUAAUGCCCGUGUUUUUUACACGUUUCCUGUAGGCACACCGGGGAGUGUUGCAAAACACACAUCUGU
RNAcentral lists this long non-coding RNA (1118 nucleotides) under Zonotrichia albicollis (white-throated sparrow). RNAcentral describes it as "lncRNA (ENSZALG00000011803.1)". The record is from RNAcentral. Lineage: Eukaryota; Metazoa; Chordata; Aves; Passeriformes; Passerellidae.